AUGAUCAGACUACCACUAUCUCAAGACACGGUGGGGAGGAGUAAAGCCGGAGAGCGCUCUUGGCAGUGGUUUGGUUUGGUUUGGUUUGUGAGACCCCUUCUGUUCUCAAGGAAACGGGGAGCUUGCGCGGAGCAGGCUCGGCUCCGGCUCCCGCUCCCGCCGCGGGCUCCUCCGCCGCGGCUCGGCCCCGCUCCUGUGCAGGGCCCCUUCCCUCGGGGCCGGCCGCCGCCGGGCAGCGCCGCUUCCCCGCUGCGCCCCAGCGCCCAGGGUCGCGGCACAACCCGACCGCGCUUCCGCGGCGCCGCCCCGCACUCACCCUGCGCGCCCCCUCCAGGGCCAGCCCGCAGUAGCGCUGCGCGGUCUCCCGGAGGCCCAGCCACAAGCUGGCGGUGGCGACGUCCAAGGCAUCCCCGCGGCCGCCGGCAGCCAUCUUACUGCGGCAAGGGGCAGCGCAGGGCCCGCCACCACCGCCGGCGCUUGACAACCGGCCUGUACCACUGCCGGGGGGCGGGAAGAAACCACUGCUGCUGGGGGGGGGGUAGCAGCCACAGGUGGCGAGCAUCCGGGACGGCCCGAGGGGGCGGCGGGCUGUACCACUGCCACAAGGGGGGGGUGCAGCAGCACGGCCAGGGGCACGGAGCGGGAGAUACCACUGCCGGGGGAGGGGGGAGCGCGGCGCCCGCGCGGGGCCUGCGGCGGGAGCGGGCCCGGGCUCCCCGCCCAGCUCCGACCGAAAGCCGGUGGCGGGGACCAGGGAAGGGGGCGCCUCGGGCAGCCGGGUCCGAGCUGCGGGAAAAGCGUAGGCGGAGCGGCAGGUGCACCUCACGGGGCCGCUCUGCGCCGGGGUGCCCAGGCCCGGCCCGGCCCGGCGGGGCGCCCAGGCCCCGGCAGCACCUGCAGCGGGUCCCCGCGACCUGCCGCGCUGGGCAUCGGCGCCCCGGCACAAACGGGCGCCUCUGCCCGCGGAGCGGGCGAGACCCAAGGACGGGGCAGCGGAGGCACCCGCAGCCCUCGCGCCGCCGCUUUGCACUGGCGUGGGCCGAGCGGUUACGAAACUAG
This 1059-nucleotide long non-coding RNA is filed under the name Apteryx haastii (Great spotted kiwi). Its description in RNAcentral is "lncRNA (ENSAHAG00000003844.1)". The record is from RNAcentral. Lineage: Eukaryota; Metazoa; Chordata; Aves; Apterygiformes; Apterygidae.